CCUACGGGUGGCAGCAGUGAGGAAUAUUGGUCAAUGGACGGAAGUCUGAACCAGCCAAGCCGCGUGCAGGAAGACGGCUCUAUGAGUUGUAAACUUCUUUUGUACAAGAGUAAACCUGAAUACGUGUAUUCAUCUGAAUGUACUUUACGAAUAAGGAUCGGCUAACUCCGUGCCAGCAGCCGCGGUAAUACGGAGGAUCCAAGCGUUAUCCGGAUUUAUUGGGUUUAAAGGGUGCGUAGGUGGAUUGAUAAGUUAGAGGUGAAAUGUUCGGGCUUAACUCGAGAACUGCCAGUAAUACUGGUGGCCUAGAGAGUAGAUGAGGUAGGCGGAAUGUAUGGUGUAGCGGUGAAAUGCUUAGAGAUCAUACAGAACACCGAUUGCGAAGGCAGCCUACUAAUCUAUCUCUGACGUUGAGGCACGAAAGUGUGGGGAGCAAACAGGAUUAGAUACCCUGGUAGUC
Molecule: ribosomal RNA, 460 nt
Filed under: uncultured bacterium
Lineage: Bacteria
Description: partial 16S ribosomal RNA
Rfam family: Bacterial small subunit ribosomal RNA
Source: RNAcentral